RNAcentral lists this microRNA precursor (80 nucleotides) under Macaca nemestrina (pig-tailed macaque). RNAcentral describes it as "miRNA (ENSMNEG00000002679.1)". The record is from RNAcentral. Lineage: Eukaryota; Metazoa; Chordata; Mammalia; Primates; Cercopithecidae.
AUUUGGUUGGUGCAAAAGUAAUUGUGGUUUUUGCCACUGAAAGUAGGCCAAAACCACAAUUACUUUUGCACCAACCAAUA